Molecule: ribosomal RNA, 253 nt
Filed under: uncultured bacterium
Lineage: Bacteria
Description: partial 16S ribosomal RNA
Rfam family: Bacterial small subunit ribosomal RNA
Source: RNAcentral
UACGUAGGUGGCAAGCGUUGUCCGGAAUUACUGGGUGUAAAGGGCGUGUAGGCGGGUAUGCAGGUCAGAUGUGAAAUUCCCCUGCUCAACGGAGGCGCUGCAUCUGAAACUGUAUAUCUUGAGUGCUGGAGAGGAAAGCGGAAUUCCUAGUGUAGCGGUGAAAUGCGUAGAUAUUAGGAGGAACACCAGUGGCGAAGGCGGCUUUCUGGACAGUAACUGACGCUGAGGCGCGAAAGCGUGGGGAGUAAACAGG